RNAcentral lists this transfer RNA (73 nucleotides) under Camelus bactrianus (Bactrian camel). It matches the Rfam family "tRNA". From Rfam's summary of the family: Transfer RNA (tRNA) molecules are approximately 80 nucleotides in length. Their secondary structure includes four short double-helical elements and three loops (D, anti-codon, and T loops). RNAcentral also lists the same sequence under 2 other names. Lineage: Eukaryota; Metazoa; Chordata; Mammalia; Artiodactyla; Camelidae. The record is from Rfam by way of RNAcentral.
GAGGGUAUAGCUCAGUGGUAGAGUUCUGUGCUUAGCAAGCAUGAGGUCCUGGGUUCAAUCCCCAGUACCUCCA